RNAcentral lists this ribosomal RNA (279 nucleotides) under uncultured Bacteroides sp. RNAcentral describes it as "partial 16S ribosomal RNA". It matches the Rfam family "Bacterial small subunit ribosomal RNA", at positions 70 to 346 of the family's 1533-position model. The record is from RNAcentral. Lineage: Bacteria; Pseudomonadati; Bacteroidota; Bacteroidia; Bacteroidales; Bacteroidaceae.
GGAAGAAAGCUUGCUUUCUUUGCUGGCGACCGGCGCACGGGUGAGUAACACGUAUCCAACCUGCCCUUUACUCGGGGAUAGCCUUUCGAAAGAAAGAUUAAUACCCGAUGGCAUAAUGAUUCCGCAUGGUUUCAUUAUUAAAGGAUUCCGGUAAAGGAUGGGGAUGCGUUCCAUUAGGUUGUUGGUGAGGUAACGGCUCACCAAGCCUUCGAUGGAUAGGGGUUCUGAGAGGAAGGUCCCCCACAUUGGAACUGAGACACGGUCCAAACUCCUACGGGA